GACGAACGCUGGCGGCGCGCUUAACACAUGCAAGUCGAACGGAAAGGCCUGCUUUCCCUUGUGGAUUGCGGGUACUCGAGUGGCGAACGGGUGAGUAACACGUGAGUGAUCUGCCCCCAACUUGGGUAUAAGCCUGGGAAACUGGGUCUAAUUCCCGAUAGGACUGCAGGGUGGUGCCUGUGGUGGAAAACGAUUUUCUAGUGGUUGGGGAUGAGCUCGCGGCCUAUCAGCUUGUUGGUGGGGUAAUGGCCUACCAAGGCGGCGACGGGUAGCCGGCCUGGGAGGGUGGACGGCAACAUUGGGACUGAGAUACGGCCCAGACUCCUACGGGAGGCAGCAGUGGGGAAUAUUGCACAAUGGGCGGAAGCCUGAUGCAGCGACGCCGCGUGGGGGAUGACGGCCUUCGGGUGGUAAACUCCUUUCGACCGCGAGGAAGCCACCUGGUUGGAAGGGUGGUGACGGUAGUGGUAGAAGAAGCACCGGCUAACUACGUG
This 494-nucleotide ribosomal RNA is filed under the name uncultured bacterium. RNAcentral's name for it is "partial 16S ribosomal RNA". It matches the Rfam family "Bacterial small subunit ribosomal RNA", at positions 28 to 507 of the family's 1533-position model. The record is from RNAcentral.